This 450-nucleotide ribosomal RNA is filed under the name uncultured Glomus. Its description in RNAcentral is "SSU rRNA". It matches the Rfam family "Eukaryotic small subunit ribosomal RNA", at positions 569 to 1026 of the family's 1831-position model. The record is from RNAcentral. Lineage: Eukaryota; Fungi; Glomeromycota; Glomeromycetes; Glomerales; Glomeraceae.
AGCAGCCGCGGUAAUUCCAGCUCCAAUAGCGUAUAUUAAAGUUGUUGCAGUUAAAAAGCUCGUAGUUGAAUUUCGGGAUCAAUAUGUUGGUCGUGCCUUGGUACGUACUGGCAUUAUUGGUUUCUACCUUCUGAAGAACCUCGAUGUCAUUAAUUUGGUGUCUUGGGGAAUCAGGACUGUUACUUUGAAAAAUUAGAGUGUUUAAAGCAGGCUCGCGCUUGAAUACAUUAGCAUGGAAUAAUGAAAUAGGACGUUUGAUUCUAUUUUGUUGGUUUCUAGGAUCGACGUAAUGAUUAAUAGGGAUAGCUGGGGGCAUUAGUAUUCAAUUGUCAGAGGUGAAAUUCUUGGAUUUAUUGAAGACUAACUACUGCGAAAGCAUUUGCCAAGGAUGUUUUCAUUAAUCAAGAACGAAGUUAGGGGAUCGAAGACGAUCAGAUACCGUCGUAGUCU